This is a long non-coding RNA of Xenia sp. Carnegie-2017, 826 nucleotides long. RefSeq lists it as uncharacterized. The transcript is spliced from 3 exons. The record is from RefSeq and is a predicted model, not a curated record. Lineage: Eukaryota; Metazoa; Cnidaria; Anthozoa; Malacalcyonacea; Xeniidae.
UACUCAUUCACUCAUUCAUUGCUCUAACAAACGGUAACGGUGUUGUCACUUGACUAGUGACGCGAGAAUAUUCGUAAAAGUUCAAUUAAUUAUGCCACGAUUGUGUUGUCAGGUAUGUGCAACGUUUUUUCAACGUCUGUCGCUGGAAUGUUGCAUCAUUUGGUCGCUGUUCAUAAACACGAUGCCAGAUUGCAUAUUUCUGCGAAGUGCCGGAAUGUAAUUCAACCUUCGCUAAGUUUAACUCUUACAAAAGUCAUCUUAGAAGAAAGCACGCCAAUGUUGACUUAAACUCACGUGAUCUAUGUUGCGUUGAAUCAGCGAGUAGCACUCAAACCAAUUUUUGUCCUGAUGAGGAUCGACUUGAACUCUUAAUUGAUGAAUUCAACAGGGAAAAUGAACUUGAUGACUCUGUUCAAGCAAUGGAACACAAAAAGGCCCAAUUUCUUCUAAAAACAAAAGAAAUCAAUCUGCUCACACAAAAAUGUGUGGAUAACAUUGUAGAAGAAUCCACUGAACUUGUCCAAGGAACAGUCAAAGCAAUUAAACACCGUUUGCAAAAUUGCUUAGAGAAAGCUGGAUUAAAUUAUAAUGAUGUGCCAGGUCUUGAUGAAUUAUUUGAUGAAGGACAUGCUAUCUCAAAUCCAUUCAAACAUAUUUCCACAAAGUAUAAACAGAAUGCUUAUUUUGAGGAGCAUUUUGGCUUAGUUCAACUCAGACGAAUUAAACUUGGACACAGAUUGUGAAAAGACUUUCAAGGACUGUGUACAAAGAGGUUAUUAAAGAUGAUGAAAUCAUGUACAUACCACUGCUUAAAUCCUUGGAAAAA